AGGGAAUCUUCCACAAUGGACGGAAGUCUGAUGGAGCAACGCCGCGUGAGUGAUGAAGGUUUUCGGAUCGUAAAACUCUGUUGUAAGGGAAGAACCAGUACGUCAGGCAAUGGACGUACCUUGACGGUACCUUAUUAGAAAGCCACGGCUAACUACGUGCCAGCAGCCGCGGUAAUACGUAGGUGGCAAGCGUUGUCCGGAAUUAUUGGGCGUAAAGCGCGCGCAGGUGGUUUCUUAAGUCUGAUGUGAAAGCCCACGGCUUAACCGUGGAGAGUCAUUGGAAACUGGGAGACUUGAGUGCAGAAGAGGAAAGUGGAAUUCCAAGUGUAGCGGUGAAAUGCGUAGAGAUUUGAGGAACACCAGUGGCGAAGGCAAUCCCCUGGGCCUGCACUGACGCUCAUGCACGAAAGCGUGGGGAGCAAACA
This 425-nucleotide ribosomal RNA is filed under the name uncultured Caryophanaceae bacterium. Its description in RNAcentral is "bacterial SSU rRNA". It matches the Rfam family "Bacterial small subunit ribosomal RNA", at positions 356 to 774 of the family's 1533-position model. Lineage: Bacteria; Bacillati; Bacillota; Bacilli; Caryophanales; Caryophanaceae. The record is from RNAcentral.